AAUGAACGCUGGCGGCAUGCCUAACACAUGCAAGUCGAACGACAGGACCGGAACUUGUUGCUCUUGCGGUUGGCGCGGGCCGGAAGGUUACACUAUGGUUAACAUACCUCUACGACUGGGGUACUUACGGCAAACCGGGUCUAAUACCGAAAAAUAUUUCGAACGGGUUGGUGCAUGAGUUAAAGCGGCUUUUCGGUACAGUAAUAGCCGAUCCCGGCCUCCAUUAGUUAGUGGGUAAGGUACCGGCUUACCAAGGCGACGAUGCGUAGCGGACCUGAGAGGGUGGACGGCCACCCUGGAACUGAGACACGGUCCAGACUCCUACGGGAGGAAGCAGUAGGGAAUCUUACGCAAUGGGCGAAAGCCUGACGGAGCAACGCCGCGUGAGUGAUGAAGGUCUUCGGAUCGUAAAACUCUGUUAUUAGGGAAGAACAAAAGUGUAAGUAACUGUGCACGUCUUGACGGUACCUAAAGAAAAAGCCCCGGCUAACUACGUG
RNAcentral lists this ribosomal RNA (497 nucleotides) under uncultured bacterium. RNAcentral's name for it is "partial 16S ribosomal RNA". It matches the Rfam family "Bacterial small subunit ribosomal RNA", at positions 29 to 507 of the family's 1533-position model. The record is from RNAcentral.